AUCCUUUUUUGGUUCAUAAGCAUUGAUGAUUGGGUGUUCACAUGGUUGUGUGACAUGUGCCUCCCUCAAAAACCUUAUUAUGCAUCAGCACAUUACCCAUCUGAUG
Small nucleolar RNA from Nannospalax galili (Upper Galilee mountains blind mole rat), 106 nucleotides. RefSeq annotates it as small nucleolar RNA U13. Lineage: Eukaryota; Metazoa; Chordata; Mammalia; Rodentia; Spalacidae. The record is from RefSeq and is a predicted model, not a curated record. The transcript has a single exon.